AACAUGUUGACAGAACUUGAACUAGCUAAAUUGAGUGAAGAUGCCGCCGCCGAUAUCAUCGAAUAUUUCUACUCACGACUAAUGAUGAGUGCAGGUUUAAAAUUCUUAACAACAGUAAAGGAAUUGGCAACAUCCGCGACGGAGAACCGAAGUUACAAGAAGGCUUCUCAGGUUUAAUGCAACUGAUGCCGUAGACUCUUCUCAAAAGCUUUUGGAGG
This is a long non-coding RNA of Armigeres subalbatus, 218 nucleotides long. RefSeq lists it as uncharacterized. The transcript is spliced from 3 exons. NCBI's taxonomy places the organism in Eukaryota, Metazoa, Arthropoda, Insecta, Diptera, Culicidae. The record is from RefSeq and is a predicted model, not a curated record.